GGAGAGAUGGGUGAGGUGAGUGGCUUAAACCAGCAGUUUGCUAAACUGCCGUAUGGGUAACUGUACCGGGGGUUCGAAUCCCCCUCUCUCCGCCA
RNAcentral lists this transfer RNA (95 nucleotides) under Bacteroidota bacterium. RNAcentral describes it as "Bacteroidetes bacterium (activated sludge metagenome) tRNA-Ser". It matches the Rfam family "tRNA". From Rfam's summary of the family: Transfer RNA (tRNA) molecules are approximately 80 nucleotides in length. The record is from RNAcentral. Lineage: Bacteria; Pseudomonadati; Bacteroidota.